AUGGGCCCGAAAGCUGCAAUUCACCGCAGAAACAGCAGAUGGGAGCAGUGGAGACGCGACGGAGAGCAGCAUGGAAGGAGGAGCCAGCAGAUGGCAGUGCAGAGGAGCGAACAGACAUCCCUGCAGCGGCAGCUGAUCCCGGGGCUUCCUGGGGAAGUAAAUAGCGGGCUUUGGUGCAGCGAGGUGGGCUUCCCUGGGCUCCUGGCUUGCCCUAGCUGUUGCGUUCUCUGGGUUCCUGUAUUUCCCACCAAGGACGUCGCAGUAGAAGCUGGACUGAUUCUGGAGUCGGAGGAUCUAGGUUCAAAUCCUCCGGGACACUUACAACGUGUGUGACCUUUGGAAAUGUGUGUAACCUCUUUGGGCCUCAGUUUCCUCAUCUAUAAAAUGGAAGGAUUGGACAAGAAGGCCUCCAAGUUCUCUUUUAAUUCUUGGGAAGCCUUCUCAACUCUACUUCCUUGACCGAGCCUGUAUUUCCUCUCCAAUCAAUGGUUUAGCGAGCUGUGGGAGAGUGUACCCCUGUGCAAGUGGGGGGCAAUUCCCUUUAUGGCUAAUUUUGCUGUGCUGUUUAAUAAAGUGUUAUUUGCUUUGAAGUAGCUUGGCCUC
This 603-nucleotide long non-coding RNA is filed under the name Monodelphis domestica (gray short-tailed opossum). Its description in RNAcentral is "lncRNA (ENSMODG00000041928.1)". The record is from RNAcentral. Lineage: Eukaryota; Metazoa; Chordata; Mammalia; Didelphimorphia; Didelphidae.